AUUACCCAUCGUGAUGUGGUUAUUGUAGUCAUAAUUACUUGAUUACACAGGGCAAUAUUUUAUUGCCCUUUAUUUUG
Non-coding RNA from Kluyvera ascorbata ATCC 33433, 77 nucleotides. The record is from Rfam. NCBI's taxonomy places the organism in Bacteria, Pseudomonadati, Pseudomonadota, Gammaproteobacteria, Enterobacterales, Enterobacteriaceae.